Molecule: ribosomal RNA, 424 nt
Filed under: uncultured bacterium
Lineage: Bacteria
Description: bacterial SSU rRNA
Rfam family: Bacterial small subunit ribosomal RNA
Source: RNAcentral
UGGGGAAUUGUUCGCAAUGGGCGCAAGCCUGACGACGCAACGCCGCGUGGAGGAUGAAGGUCUUCGGAUUGUAAACUCCUGUUGAUCGGGACGAAAAGCUUCGACCUAACACGUCGAAGACUGACGGUACCGGUUGAGGAAGCCACGGCUAACUCUGUGCCAGCAGCCGCGGUAAGACGUAGGGAGCGAGCGUUGUCCGGAUUCAUUGGGCGUAAAGAGCGCGUAGGCGGCCGUGCAAGUCGGUUGUGAAAUCCCGGGGCUCAACCCCGGGACUGCGUCCGAUACUGCACGGCUCGAGGCAGGUAGGGGAGAGUGGAAUUCCCGGUGUAGCGGUGAAAUGCGCAGAUAUCGGGAGGAACACCGGUGGCGAAGGCGGCUCUCUGGACCUGUCCUGACGCUGAGGCGCGAAAGCUAGGGGAGCGAA